RNAcentral lists this ribosomal RNA (253 nucleotides) under uncultured bacterium. RNAcentral's name for it is "partial 16S ribosomal RNA". It matches the Rfam family "Bacterial small subunit ribosomal RNA", at positions 524 to 776 of the family's 1533-position model. The record is from RNAcentral.
UACGUAGGUGACAAGCGUUGUCCGGAUUUACUGGGCGUAAAGAGCGCGCAGGCGGUCGUUCAAGUCGAGUGUGAAAGCCCCCGGCUCAACUGGGGAGGGUCAUUCGAUACUGAUCGACUCGAAGGCAGGAGAGGGAAGUGGAAUUCCCGGUGUAGUGGUGAAAUGCGCAGAUAUCAGGAGGAACACCAGCGGCGAAGGCGGCGCUCUGGGCCGGAACUGACGCUGAGGAGCGAAAGCGUGGGUAGCAAACAGG